UAGACGGACUAGAGACACAUAUUAGUGUUAGAAAAACAUGGUGAAGUGUAUUUUGCAUAAUAUGUGACCUUUAAUGUUUUUCAGAUAGUGUUGAACUCAUCACCUACCAAUGUUUUUUCUGACCUUGAUAACUAUGGGUUACUUUAUUAAGUCUGAUGCUGAGACAAAUGUCCCCUUUUCACAGGGAGACCAGAAACUGAGGACGCUUUCUGGCCUUUUGUGUGUCGUGUUGUUGGACUCUUGGUGUUUGUCACCAUAGUGAUUGCUAUGUUUGUCACCUCACACUCUUUGCGUAAAGUUCAAGGUGUCCAAUGUGGAGGAGGAUCCAAAGACACACCAGCAGAUCCAAACAGCCAGCCUUCCCAUCAGGCUUUGCCUAUGGAUCAUAUCUAUGAUAGUGUUCAGUAGUCCUCAUGUCAGAGGUACAAAGUUAAACGUUACAAUGCUGGGUUAAGAACAUACAACAGCAUUUAUUAUUGAUUGUUUUUUGUGACUCGUGGAAGUCAAUUUGUGCUUGUGAAUUUCUGCAAAUGAACCUGUAGUGAUACAAGAAGUGACAUUUCUAUUGCUUUCAAACCGCUGUAUAUGAGAUCGAACCUGUGUGUGUGUGUGUGUGUGUGUGUGUGUGUUUUGCUUCCUCUGUAGGUGACAAACUUUGUGCACAAAUCCCCUGCAAGAUAUAUUAUUUUGGUUAUCUGUAUCGCAUUGUGGAGCAGACGCACUGAUGCCAGGAAGCAAAAUGUAACCACACGUCACAUAUUGAGAGACAAAAGACAAGAGGAUGUGUCGUAACAUGAAAGAAUACGCAGCCCUCAACUUAUCACCCAUCUGUUCUAGGGAUCUUAUUUCACUCUAAAAUAUAAAUUAUAAAUGUGAUUUUACCACUUCACAUACAGCCCAAUAUUAAAGAUUCACUGAAGAAAUCUAGUUUCUUAAACUGACUAAUGAAAACAACAGCCAACCUGUCAGUCAAAGCAGCCCCGCCAAAUUAUAAUAUAAUAACUAGCUUUCAAAAAAGAUUUUUCAUAAAUUCUUAAAAUUCAUAAAAAUUCACUCUGUAAAGUUUGUGCAAAUAAAUAAAUGAGCUGUCAGAACCAAA
Labrus bergylta (ballan wrasse) is the source of this 1099-nucleotide non-coding RNA. The record is from RefSeq and is a predicted model, not a curated record. NCBI's taxonomy places the organism in Eukaryota, Metazoa, Chordata, Actinopteri, Labriformes, Labridae.